GAUGAACGCUAGCUACAGGCUUAACACAUGCAAGUCGAGGGGUAACGAGAGGAAAGCUUGCUUUCCUUGUCGACGACCGGCGCACGGGUGAGUAACGCGUAUCCAACCUGCCCCCAACUAAGGAAUAACCUUGCGAAAGUAAGACUAAUACCUUAUAAUUUCCUCAGAUGUCAUCUGACGAGAAUAAAGAUUUAUCGGUUGUGGAUGGGGAUGCGUCUGAUUAGCUUGUUGGCGGGGUAACGGCCCACCAAGGCAACGAUCAGUAGGGGUUCUGAGAGGAAGGUCCCCCACAGUGGAACUGAGACACGGUCCAAACUCCUACGGGAGGCAGCAGUGAGGAAUAUUGGUCAAUGGGCGAAAGCCUGAACCAGCCAAGUAGCGUGCAGGAUGACGGCCCUAUGGGUUGUAAACUGCUUUUAUACAGGAAUAAAGUUAGCCACGUGUGGUUAUUUGUAGGUACUGUAUGAAUAAGGACCGGCUAAUUCCGUGCCAGCAGCCGCGGUAA
This 505-nucleotide ribosomal RNA is filed under the name uncultured bacterium. Its description in RNAcentral is "partial 16S ribosomal RNA". It matches the Rfam family "Bacterial small subunit ribosomal RNA", at positions 28 to 523 of the family's 1533-position model. The record is from RNAcentral.